GGAGGCACCCGCGGAAAGNGGGGAGAGUGGCGGAUUGUGAAAAAGNGUGGNGACNUGCCUUCNGCCGGGGACAGCNGUUGGAAACAGCGGUAAUACCGGAUACGNUCGCCGCGCUGGGGCGCGGUGAAGAAAGGAGCUUUGGUUCGCCGGAGGAUGGGCCCGCGUCCCAUUAGCUUGCUGGCGGUGUAACGGACCACCAGGGCGAAGAUGGGUAGCCGGCCUGAGAGGGUGAACGGCCACACUGGGACUGAGAUACGGCCCAGACUCCUACGGGAGGCAGCAGCUAAGAAUAUUCCGCAAUGGGCGAAAGCCUGACGGAGNGACGCCGCGUGUACGAGGAAGGCCGAAAGGUUGUAAAGUACUUUUUCCGCCGGAGAAUAAGCGGGGGAGGGAAUGCUCCCGCGAUGACGGUAGGCGGGGAAUAAGCCCCGGCUAAUUGACGGAAAA
Molecule: ribosomal RNA, 447 nt
Filed under: uncultured Treponema clone CFS2p
Lineage: Bacteria; Pseudomonadati; Spirochaetota; Spirochaetia; Treponematales; Treponemataceae
Description: bacterial SSU rRNA
Rfam family: Bacterial small subunit ribosomal RNA
Source: RNAcentral